Molecule: non-coding RNA, 282 nt
Filed under: Neomoorella thermoacetica
Lineage: Bacteria; Bacillati; Bacillota; Clostridia; Neomoorellales; Neomoorellaceae
Description: Moorella thermoacetica T-box sequence
Rfam family: T-box leader
About the family: Uncharged tRNA acts as the effector for transcription antitermination of genes in the T-box leader family. T-boxes are found upstream of many aminoacyl-tRNA synthetase genes and some amino acid biosynthetic genes usually in Gram-positive bacteria.
Source: RNAcentral
UGAAAUCCAGUGAAGGGGAAAAGUAGGCUUCGGCGGAAUGCCCAGCGAGCCGGUGGCGGUGGGAGACCGGUCAGGAGGCUGGAGUUGAAGUUCUCCCCGGAGGAGCAGGCUGAAGGCCGGUAAGCAACCGGCUGGGUAGGCCGUGCCGGAGCUCCCGCCGUUAUAUGGGAGGGGGUAUCGGAAGAGGUCAUCGACGCUUUUCCCGUACCUUGUAACGAGCGGGCUGUUUUCUAAAGACAGCCAAGCAGGGUGGUACCACGGGUAUAACUCCUCGUCCCUAGC